GCAGCUUGCUGCUUCGCUGACGAGUGGCGGACGGGUGAGUAAUGUCUGGGAAACUGCCUGAUGGAGGGGGAUAACUACUGGAAACGGUAGCUAAUACCGCAUAACGUCUCAAGACCAAAGAGGGGGACCUUCGGGCCUCUUGCCAUCGGAUGUGCCCAGAUGGGAUUAGCUAGUAGGUGGGGUAACGGCUCACCUAGGCGACGAUCCCUAGCUGGUCUGAGAGGAUGACCAGCCACACUGGAACUGAGACACGGUCCAGACUCCUACGGGAGGCAGCAGUGGGGAAUAUUGCACAAUGGGCGCAAGCCUGAUGCAGCCAUGCCGCGUGUAUGAAGAAGGCCUUCGGGUUGUAAAGUACUUUCAGCGGGGAGGAAGGCGAUAAGGUUAAUAACCUUGUCGAUUGACGUUACCCGCAGAAGAAGCACCGGCUAACUCCGUGCCAGCAGCCGCGGUAAUACGGAGGGUGCAAGCGUUAAUCGGAAUUACUGGGCGUAAAGCGCACGCAGGCGGUCUGUCAAGUCGGAUGUGAAAUCCCCGGGCUCAACCUGGGAACUGCAUUCGAAACUGGCAGGCUAGAGUCUUGUAGAGGGGGGUAGAAUUCCCUGGUGUAGCGGUGAAAUGCGUAGAGAUCUGGAGGAAUACCGGUGGCGAAAGCGGCCCCCUGGACAAGACUGACGCUCAUGUGCGAAAGCG
Molecule: ribosomal RNA, 693 nt
Filed under: Enterobacter hormaechei
Lineage: Bacteria; Pseudomonadati; Pseudomonadota; Gammaproteobacteria; Enterobacterales; Enterobacteriaceae
Description: bacterial SSU rRNA
Rfam family: Bacterial small subunit ribosomal RNA
Source: RNAcentral